CCUACGGGAGACAGCAGUGAGGAAUAUUGGUCAAUGGGCGAAAGCCUGACGCAGCGACGCCGCGUGAGGGAUGAAGGUCUUCGGAUCGUAAACCUCUGUCAGCAGGGAAGAACGGUCACUGUGCUAAUCAGCAAUGAAUUGACGGUACCUGCAAAGCAAGCACCGGCUAACUCCGUGCCCGCAGCCGCGGUAAUCCGGAGGGUGCGCACGUUAAUCGGAAUUACUGGGCGUAAGGCGAUCGUAGGCGGUAGGUCAAGUCAAGGGUGAAAUCCCCGGGCUCAACGUGGGAACUGCCUUUGAAACUGGCAAACUGGAGUGUGUGAGAGGAUGGUGGAAUUCUAGGUGUAGGAGUGAAAUCCGUAGAUAUCUGGAGGAACAUCAGUGGCGAAGGCGACUAUCUGGCACAUAACUGACGCUGAGGAGCGAAAGCGUGGGUAGCAAACAGGAUUAGAUACCCGAGUAGUC
RNAcentral lists this ribosomal RNA (465 nucleotides) under uncultured bacterium. RNAcentral's name for it is "partial 16S ribosomal RNA". It matches the Rfam family "Bacterial small subunit ribosomal RNA", at positions 338 to 795 of the family's 1533-position model. The record is from RNAcentral.